This is a non-coding RNA of Drosophila takahashii, 511 nucleotides long. NCBI's taxonomy places the organism in Eukaryota, Metazoa, Arthropoda, Insecta, Diptera, Drosophilidae. The record is from RefSeq and is a predicted model, not a curated record.
GUAGCAGCUGGAAGGAAGUUGCGUGUACGCCCUGUGCACAAAAAGUAGGAGCAAUCGCAGCCGAAGGCCGAAGUAUUCACGAUGAUCCUUCACGAGAACCAUCUAUAAACUUUAAGCAUUCCCGACUGCCCGCAUUUUUUGGGCCUUACUCUUCUUAGUUUUUAGCCAUAAGCAGAAACUAACCAUAAACUAAAAUUUGAAACGAGCGAACGUAAAUCAAAUAAACAUAAAUAAUAAUAAAUAAUAGUUAGCAGUGUGUAAGUGCGUCCAGUUGUAAUCCGUAGUUUGUAACACAAGGCAUAAGCACAACUAUGACAAAUGUCCUAUGGCGAUUUCAGUUUCCACUUUUAUACAAAUGUAAAAAUGUUUACAAGCAAUUUUAUGUAAUACCUAUAUGAUAUUUAGUGUGUAAAUUCGUCUUUUUAUCGAAAAAAAGGAAAACGCAAAACGCAGAACGAAAUACGAAUGAAAAUAAAUAAAUGGUAUGCAUUUUUAUUUAAAAAGAAAACAA